GACGAACGCUGGCGGCGUGCCUAAUACAUGCAAGUCGAGCGGACUGAAUGGGAGCUUGCUCUUGUUCGGUCAGCGGCGGACGGGUGAGUAACACGUGGGCAACCUGCCCGCAAGACCGGGAUAACUCCGGGAAACCGGAGCUAAUACCGGAUAACACCGAAGACCGCAUGGUCUUUGGUUGAAAGGCGGCGCAAGCUGCCACUUGCGGAUGGGCCCGCGGCGCAUUAGCUAGGUGGUUAGGUGACGGGUCACCAAGGCGGAGAUGCGUAGCCGGCCUUCAAGGGUGACCGGGCACACUGGGACUGAGACACGGCCCAGACCUCCACGGGAGGCAGCAGUAGGGAAUCUUCCGAAAUGGGCGAAAGGCUGGCGGAGCGACGGCGCGUGGGGGGAGAAGGCCUUCGGGUCGUAAAGCUCUGUUGUGAGGGACGAAGGAGCGCCGUUUGAAGAAGGCGGCGCGGUGACGGUACCUCACGAGGAAGCCCCGGCUAACUACGUG
RNAcentral lists this ribosomal RNA (499 nucleotides) under uncultured bacterium. RNAcentral's name for it is "partial 16S ribosomal RNA". It matches the Rfam family "Bacterial small subunit ribosomal RNA", at positions 28 to 507 of the family's 1533-position model. The record is from RNAcentral.